Long non-coding RNA from Cyprinus carpio carpio, 482 nucleotides. NCBI's taxonomy places the organism in Eukaryota, Metazoa, Chordata, Actinopteri, Cypriniformes, Cyprinidae. The record is from Ensembl.
AAGGCAGCCUUUUUCCCCCUGAGCACAACUCUAAUUAACAGCGGUGGAUGUAGAGAGGCCAGGCAAUGUGGAGCUACUAAGAGGGCCUGGGGCACUGGGCAGACUCACUGUCACCUCGGCUUAAGUGCUGGGUCUUGGGCAGCCAUCUCCUCUCAUCAGAUGCUUUCAGGAAAUGGGUCAGCAAAAAUAAGCAAGAGCACAAAAGAAACCACCGCCAGUCCUCAGGCGCUGACUGCGAGGUAGAGCGUCAGAGAGGGAGAGACUGAAAGAGAAAGAAAGACUUGGAGCCAAGUAUGAGCAGUAUCCACUGACCUGACAGUGAAGCCAAAUCAGUACCAUCUAAAAUAUAUAAACUCUGCUCCAGGCUGUCUCACCGACUAGCCUUUCGAGUGGGUAUUUAGUGGACGUCACUGUUUGUCUGCCUCAUACAGUCGCCUGGAUGGCCGCUUCUGAUGGCGCCAUGCACUUGCACCCCUCUGCCG